Molecule: transfer RNA, 75 nt
Filed under: Puniceicoccales bacterium
Lineage: Bacteria; Pseudomonadati; Verrucomicrobiota; Opitutia; Puniceicoccales
Description: tRNA-Arg
Rfam family: tRNA
About the family: Transfer RNA (tRNA) molecules are approximately 80 nucleotides in length.
Source: RNAcentral
GCUCUCGUAGUUCAAUGGAUAGAGUGUUGGCCUCCGAAGCCAAAAAUUCGGGUUCGAGUCCCGACGAGAGCGCCA